This 30-nucleotide non-coding RNA is filed under the name Homo sapiens (human). Lineage: Eukaryota; Metazoa; Chordata; Mammalia; Primates; Hominidae. The record is from RNAcentral.
UUCAUUGGUGAAGUCCUGCUUGCUAGGGAA